This 253-nucleotide ribosomal RNA is filed under the name uncultured bacterium. RNAcentral describes it as "partial 16S ribosomal RNA". It matches the Rfam family "Bacterial small subunit ribosomal RNA", at positions 524 to 776 of the family's 1533-position model. The record is from RNAcentral.
UACGAAGGGGGCUAGCGUUGCUCGGAAUCACUGGGCGUAAAGCGCACGUAGGCGGACUCUUAAGUCGGUGGUGAAAUCCUGGAGCUCAACUCCAGAACUGCCUUCGAUACUGGGAGUCUCGAGUCCGGGAGAGGUGAGUGGAACUGCGAGUGUAGAGGUGAAAUUCGUAGAUAUUCGCAAGAACACCAGUGGCGAAGGCGGCUCACUGGCCCGGUACUGACGCUGAGGUGCGAAAGCGUGGGGGGCAAACAGG